This 256-nucleotide ribosomal RNA is filed under the name uncultured bacterium. RNAcentral's name for it is "partial 16S ribosomal RNA". It matches the Rfam family "Bacterial small subunit ribosomal RNA", at positions 524 to 776 of the family's 1533-position model. The record is from RNAcentral.
UACGGGGGGUGCGAGCGUUGUCCGGAAUUAUUGGGCGUAAAGGGCUCGUAGGCGGUUUUGUCGCGUCGGGAGUGAAAUCCACUGGCUUAACUGGUGGCUUGCUUUCGAUACGGGCAGACUAGAGUGAUGUAGGGGGAGACUGGAAUUCCUGGUGUAGCGGUGAAAUGCGCAGAUAUCAGGAGGAACACCGAUGGCGAAGGCAGGUCUCUGGGCAUUAACUGACGCUGAGGAGCGAAAAGCAUAGGGAGCGAACAGG